Oryzias melastigma (Indian medaka) is the source of this 886-nucleotide long non-coding RNA. RefSeq lists it as uncharacterized. Lineage: Eukaryota; Metazoa; Chordata; Actinopteri; Beloniformes; Adrianichthyidae. The transcript is spliced from 3 exons. The record is from RefSeq and is a predicted model, not a curated record.
UUUAUAUAUUUGCCAAAGUUCGAAACAUAAAUGUGAAGUGGCCAAAACGGGGGCCCAUUUCAAGAAGCAGGUUUUCAAGAAACCUUAAGGGAAACUCUGAGUUUCUGGUUUCAGAAACAGAGGUAACUUAAACCCGUCAAAGCGGGUUAAACCAAACUUGUUUCAUAAAGCAGGCUGAUUGGAACUUAGAGUUCAUCACUAUGGCAACUGAGUCGGUGAACGUAACCUGGUCUGGAGCAGGUUUCCUUCAGGAAACUCAGAGUUCUCCGCGGUCUCCGCCCCUUCUUAAAGUGAAGGACAAAAAAUGAUCGUUCAUGCGAUUACGGAGAUUACACGCUAAAUUAUUGACAGAUCAAAAUCCAUUCCUCACUCAACAAGUGACACAAUGCCAUUCCGGCAUUAUUUAGUUCUUAUCCUGAAUUGACAUGAUUCAAAUAGAGACGUGCGCAACGUGUGGAAAGAUUUCAAAAUAACUUUUUUCACAAGAUUUCUUUUCAGCAGCAAAACACAAUAAACAAAAUUCCGACUUAGAAACAAAAUUUUUUCUUCCAAACAAGAUUUUUCUUACAAAGCUGAACCAGAAAGAAGAAUCCUGGAUUGGUCUGUAUCUUGGAUGGUCAUCACAAAAGGAUAAAUAUGCACGGAUGUGAGUGGACAGAUUGUCAUUAACAGAAAUAUGCUGGGAAUCAGAAAAAGAACCCUAUCCCUUUAACAACCACAUGACAGUGUUUUUAAAUACUGAAGGGAGAAUGGCAGAUCUAGAGAAAAACAUCUCUUAAAAACUACAUCUGUGAGAUGUGAAGCUGAUGCUUUCAUUGCUGUUACAGGCCUGUGCAGUGAUUGAUCUGCUCUGUAUUAGAACCAAUAAAUGCCCUGAUUAAGAAAC